This 406-nucleotide ribosomal RNA is filed under the name uncultured bacterium. Its description in RNAcentral is "partial 16S ribosomal RNA". It matches the Rfam family "Bacterial small subunit ribosomal RNA", at positions 29 to 526 of the family's 1533-position model. The record is from RNAcentral.
AUUGAACGCUGGCGGCAGGCCUAACACAUGCAAGUCGAACGAGUGGCGGACGGGUGAGUAAUGUCUGGGAAACUGCCCGAUGGAGGGGGAUAACUACUGGAAACGGUAGCUAAUACCGCAUACCAUCGGAUGUGCCCAGAUGGGAUUAGCUAGGAGGUGGGGUAAAGGCUCACCUAGGCGACAAUCCCUAGCUGGUCUGAGAGGAUGACCAGCCACACUGGAACUGAGAACCGGUCCAGACUCCUACGGGAGGCAGCAGGGGGGAAUAUUGCACAAUGGGCGCAAGCCUGAUGCAGCCCUGCCGGGUGGAUGAAGAAGGCCUUCGGGUUGUAAAGGACCUUCAGCGGGGAGGCGUUACCCGCAGAAGAAGCACCGGCUAACUCCGUGCCAGCCGCCGCGGUAAUAC